AGUGAACGCUGGCGGUAGGCCUAACACAUGCAAGUCGAACGGCAGCACAGUAAGAGCUUGCUCUUACGGGUGGCGAGUGGCGGACGGGUGAGGAAUACAUCGGAAUCUACUUUUUCGUGGGGGAUAACGUAGGGAAACUUACGCUAAUACCGCAUACGACCUACGGGUGAAAGCAGGGGAUCUUCGGACCUUGCGCGAUUGAAUGAGCCGAUGUCGGAUUAGCUAGUUGGCGGGGUAAAGGCCCACCAAGGCGACGAUCCGUAGCUGGUCUGAGAGGAUGAUCAGCCACACUGGAACUGAGACACGGUCCAGACUCCUACGGGAGGCAGCAGUGGGGAAUAUUGGACAAUGGGCGCAAGCCUGAUCCAGUCAUACCGCGUGGGUGAAGAAGGCCUUCGGGUUGUAAAGCCCUUUUGUUGGGAAAGAAAAGCAGCAGGUUAAUACCCCGCUGUUCUGACGGUACCCAAAGAAUAAGCACCGGCUAACGUCGUG
Molecule: ribosomal RNA, 492 nt
Filed under: uncultured bacterium
Lineage: Bacteria
Description: partial 16S ribosomal RNA
Rfam family: Bacterial small subunit ribosomal RNA
Source: RNAcentral